ACUCCUACGGGAGGCAGCAGUGGGGAAUAUUGCACAAUGGGGGAAACCCUGAUGCAGCCAUGCCGCGUGUGUGAAGAAGGCCUUCGGGUUGUAAAGCACUUUCAGUAGGGAGGAAGGUAGUGUAGUUAACACCUGCAUUAUUUGACGUUACCUACAGAAGAAGCACCGGCUAACUCCGUGCCAGCAGCCGCGGUAAUACGGAGGGUGCGAGCGUUAAUCGGAAUUACUGGGCGUAAAGCGCAUGCAGGCGGCCUGUUAAGUCAGAUGUGAAAGCCCGGGGUCUUAACCGUCGGAAUUGCAUUUGAAACUGGCAGGCUAGAGUCUUGUAGAGGGGUUAGAAUUUCAGGUGUAGCGGUGAAAUGCGUAGAGAUCUGAAGGAAUACCAGUGGCGAAGGCGGCCCCUGGACAAAGACUGACGCUCAGAUGCGAAAGCGUGGGAGCAAACGAGGAUUAGACUA
This 458-nucleotide ribosomal RNA is filed under the name uncultured bacterium. RNAcentral's name for it is "bacterial SSU rRNA". It matches the Rfam family "Bacterial small subunit ribosomal RNA", at positions 335 to 785 of the family's 1533-position model. The record is from RNAcentral.